Molecule: ribosomal RNA, 106 nt
Filed under: Pseudomonas nitroreducens
Lineage: Bacteria; Pseudomonadati; Pseudomonadota; Gammaproteobacteria; Pseudomonadales; Pseudomonadaceae
Source: RNAcentral
CUUGACGACCAUAGAGCGUUGGAACCACCUGAUCCCAUCCCGAACUCAGUAGUGAAACGACGCAUCGCCGAUGGUAGUGUGGAGUUUCUCCAUGUGAGAGUAGGUC